RNAcentral lists this ribosomal RNA (377 nucleotides) under uncultured bacterium. RNAcentral describes it as "bacterial SSU rRNA". It matches the Rfam family "Bacterial small subunit ribosomal RNA", at positions 521 to 896 of the family's 1533-position model. The record is from RNAcentral.
UAAGACAGGGGGCUCGAGCGUUAAUCGGAAUCACUGGGCUUAAAGGGUGCGUAGGCGGGUCGGUAAGCAUCCCGUGAAAUCCCUUGGCUCAACCAAGGAACCGCGGGAUGGACUGCCGAUCUUGAGGUAGCUAGAGGCGGGUAGAACGAUAGGUGGAGCGGUGGAAUGCGUAGAUAUCUAUCGGAAUGCCGAAAGUGAAGACAGCCCGCUGGGGCUUACCUGACGCUAAAGCACGAAAGCGUGGGGAGCAAACCGGAUUAGAUACCCGGGUAGUCCACGCCCUAAACGAUGUGCACUAGACCGGAGCGGCUCUGACGUCGUUCUGGUCGGAGAGAAAUUGUUAAGUGCACCGCCUGGGUAGUACGGUCGCAAGGCUA